AGAGUUUGAUCCUGGCUCAGAACGAACGCUGGCGGCGUGCUUAACACAUGCAAGUCGAACGUGAUCCGGAGCUUGCUCCGGUGAAAGUGGCGCACGGGUGAGUAACGCGUGGAUAAUCUGCCCUGGUAUCUGGGAUAACAUCUCGAAAGGGGUGCUAAUACCGGAUAAGCCUACGGUCUCUUCGGAGUCUGCAGGAAAAGGUGGCCUCUAUUUAUAAGCUACCGUAUCAGGAUGAGUCCGCGUACCAUUAGCUAGUUGGUGGGGUAAUGGCCCACCAAGGCUACGAUGGUUAGCUGGUCUGAGAGGAUGAUCAGCCACACUGGAACUGAGACACGGUCCAGACUCCUACGGGAGGCAGCAGUGGGGUAUUUUGCGCAAUGGGGGAAACCCUGACGCAGCAACGCCGCGUGAGUGAUGAAGGCUUUCGGGUCGUAAAGC
RNAcentral lists this ribosomal RNA (438 nucleotides) under uncultured bacterium. RNAcentral's name for it is "bacterial SSU rRNA". It matches the Rfam family "Bacterial small subunit ribosomal RNA", at positions 8 to 431 of the family's 1533-position model. The record is from RNAcentral.